AUUGAACGCUGGCGGCAGGCCUAACACAUGCAAGUCGAACGGUAACAGGAAGAAGCUUGCUUCUUUGCUGACGAGUGGCGGACGGGUGAGUAAUGUCUGGGAAACUGCCUGAUGGAGGGGGAUAACUACUGGAAACGGUAGCUAAUACCGCAUAACGUCGCAAGACCAAAGAGGGGGACCUUCGGGCCUCUUGCCUUCGGCUGUGCCCAGAUGGGAUUAGCUAGUAGGUGGGGUAACGGCACACCUAGGCGACGAUCCCUAGCUGGUCUGAGAGGAUGAUCAGUCACACUGGAACUGAGACACGGUCCAGACUCCUACGGGAGGCAGCAGUGGGGAAUAUUGGACAAUGGGCGCAAGCCUGAUGCAGCCAUGCCGCGUGUAUGAAGAAGGCCUUCGGGUUGUAAAGUACUUUAAGCGGGGAGGAAGGGAGUAAAGUUAAUACCUUUGCUCAUUGACGUUACCCGCAGAAGAAGCACCGGCUAACUCCGUG
This 490-nucleotide ribosomal RNA is filed under the name uncultured bacterium. RNAcentral's name for it is "partial 16S ribosomal RNA". It matches the Rfam family "Bacterial small subunit ribosomal RNA", at positions 30 to 507 of the family's 1533-position model. The record is from RNAcentral.